This 253-nucleotide ribosomal RNA is filed under the name uncultured bacterium. RNAcentral describes it as "partial 16S ribosomal RNA". It matches the Rfam family "Bacterial small subunit ribosomal RNA", at positions 524 to 776 of the family's 1533-position model. The record is from RNAcentral.
UACGGGGGGAGCAAGCGUUGUUCGGAUUUAUUGGGCGUAAAGAGCGUGUAGGCGGCCAGGUAGGUCUGGUGUGAAAACUCGAGGCUCAACCUCGAGAUGUCGGCGGAAACCGUCUGGCUAGAGUCCGGAAGAGGAGAGUGGAAUUCCUGGUGUAGCGGUGAAAUGCGCAGAUAUCAGGAAGAACACCUAUGGCGAAGGCAGCUCUCUGGGACGGUACUGACGCUGAGACGCGAAAGCGUGGGGAGCGAACAGG